Molecule: long non-coding RNA, 11775 nt
Organism: Alligator mississippiensis (American alligator)
Lineage: Eukaryota; Metazoa; Chordata; Crocodylia; Alligatoridae
Exons: 4
Source: RefSeq, a predicted model, not a curated record
AAGCAGUCGCAGUCCGUCCCCCCCCCCGGUCCGUUGCUCAGGUCGUUCCCUCCGGAAACAAAGCGGCGACUCCCGGGUUCCGCGCUGGGAGGGGCAGUUGUCUCUGAGGUGAUGUCACAGGGGGUGCAAGUCACAGGUGUGACGUCCCUUAGGGCCUGAGUGUGGGCUCCUCCAGCCCCCAGUGCGCGACCAGCGUCGUCCCUAUCUCCGGCGUAGCCCCGGGAAGGGGCAAGGCCGCCCCACGCCGCAGGGCGUUGCACGCGCAGCCGAGGGCGAAAUGGGCAGGGCGGAGGAGAGAAGCCACGUGGGCUUGUGGCAGCUGAGGUGCAGGCAUCAGACCUUGAGGUAGCCCGAGGCACCGAGGGAAGAUGGUGUAAACGCUGAUCUGGAAGGGACAGGCGAGGCCGCGAUGAGGUGGAAGGAGACCGGGCAAGAUCGGAGGAGGUGGAAAACCCCUGUGAGACCACAGAGGAAGAGGCGCCAGCUGGGCUUUGGGGCCCUUCGUCAGGCCUGCGAGAGAAGCAGAUUUGGCCUGAGCUCGGCACAGUCGCUGCCGUUCGACCCUGCUGUGUUAAGGGCACCUCGUUUUAUUUCAAACAGGAUGAGCUGGGCAGGAGCUAACCCGUUCUGCGCAACUCGACGCCCGCGCGCCUGGGCCCGAGUGCCGGGGCGUGGCCCUGAGCCGAAAUCCGCAAACCAGCGGAGCCAGAAGUGUCAGAAAUGUCCCCAGAUCUCCAGCGAAGAUAGUUUCUAGCAUGAUUUGCUCAGCUGCCUACAUCCCCACGUCACAGCUUCAGAGACCCAGGGCACUACCUGGGUCUCCGGCACCUUAAACCAGUUUCUGACAACAACACUUCUUGAUCUAAGGAGACCCACCUGGACUAGAGACUUUGCACGGAUUCCACCGCUCUUUCUGGUGUAAAAGUCUUUUUCAAACCUUCUACAUCCAUCUUUGCAUAGAAAAGACAAGCCUAAUACUUGUGGGUUUCAGAAACGGGAUGUAUUUUGCUUGGUACCACAGAAACAAUUUACCUCAGUGACAAGGGAAGAUGUUUGUGUCUCACAGGUUCAUCUACAGUCCUUAUUAUUGUAAGGUUUUUAUUCCCAAUUUUAAAAGCCCGCAACAGAAAUGCCUAGUAUUGCUAUCAAAAAAUAAAUAAAGAGCAGAGAGUGGUAGAGAGCAUAGGACAUUUUAAGAUGGAAUGCUAGUAAUUGAAAUUUAACUUAUUCUGAAGUGGCUCCUAGCUGUUAAAAGAAUCAGGAAGUUAUGUCAAGACGUGGGUAGGUGGUGGGGAAAAACACCUUUUUUGUCAAACAGGCUCUUUAAUGACUGCAAGGCAGGAUUCUGAUUUUGCAUCCAGUUUGGAAUUGGCACCUCCGGCCUCACGGUGGGCAUUGGUUCAAUAGUGACUCGGAAAAGAAGAGAACCGCUGCUUGAAUUGCCAAUUGCUGGGAGGAGGCUGCACAAAUAUCUUGACACUGUGACUAGAGAUACAGAAGACUGGCUCUUCCUCAGCAAUCAGGCUGAGCUGAUUUCCUGUCAUUACUUUUGGCUGCUUCCAGGGUAUGGUGCAGAGCUGUUAAACUAUUCCAUCCUCUCGUUCAGGCGGUGAUUACCUACCCAAGGUCAUUGGUGAGGCUCCUACAUGCCGCAUCAUUCGGAGCAGCCAGGCUCAGUCCCCUGCUUUGAAUGAGCACUGCUUUCAGUAAGGCUUCCAUCAGGAAUCUGGGGCUGAAUUAAAUCCCUGCCCGGCUGGCUCACUGUAUAGUGGGAGGCAGUGUGUGGGGUUGUGCCAUCAUCCUUGAUGACAGCAGUCUCCAACAUAUAACAGGUCCCCUGCCCCAGCAGGCCUGGGGUAAUAGGCACAGUAUAGAACCACCUUGCCUGGCCCCAUUCAAGACUGCUCUGAAGUUUCUCCUUCUGUGACAUGCAGUAGUGAAGUUGCCUCCACGCAGACAAGCUCACGCCACUCACCUUGUGCCUGCAGCUGCUGUCCCAGUGACCUGGCGUAUUGCUGAUCCGCCUGUGCUGCAAACCUGCCGUGUACCCGUAGCAAUGGUGCUGCAUUUGUCCACAGCUCCGGGACCUGAGAGCCUUACAAGCAUGAACAAGCAUGUCUGUGUGCCCUGGGACACACUGAUUCAUAGAGUUUGAGGUCAGGAGGGAUGACGCCCAUGUCACCAAUAUGCCACUGGCACGGAGCUGGUGACAGCGAUGACCAGCCCACGCUGCUGCGAAGCACCAAGCUCACAUGCAGCACGCUGUUAAUGACUGUGACACCACGCUUACACUGAAGCCUUGCCAGAUGACGCAUAGAACUUCCCCAAGGCUCAGGGAGCACUUUCCCUCCCUGACUUCGCAUGGCAUCAGCUGGAUGCAGCUGAGGACUAAGUAUUGCAUCUGCAUCAUGUAGGGACUCUGAAAAGGGAGCCCAGAGUUGCAGCAUCUGGAUUUUGGAGAGCAGCGAGUUUCCCUGCCUUCUUCCUUGGAGUUCAGAGAUCAAGCCAAACUGCAUCCUGCCUAAGGGUGACUUAUUUUUUAGCCCUGGCUCAUACAGAUUUUAUGAAACAGGAUUUUAUGUUUCUCCUCCCCAUGGUAUUUACCAGAUUGCUCCAAAUUACAUGGUGGUGAACAUGAAAGCCACAUACCUGUGGAGGAGAGAAUUAGUAGUUCUCAGUUUUCAGUCUGGCUCUCUUUCUCUCCCUACCCCUUCCCCACCUCUCCCUGCCUUGUGGAGCCAGCUGCUCCAAGAAUAGUUCAGGAAUGAAAUGUCACAGUUUGAAGCUGGUGAGUCACACUCUUCUACCAAAAUACAAUCUUGCAGCAUGUCUCCUGAUGGGGACAGCAAGACUUUUCAAAAUGCAAGCUUCCUGAUGGAAGCCAGUGGUUCUGAAUAAACCCUGCGUGCUGUGUCCUGGCUGUUUGUUGCAUGAUGAUCAUAAGGUACUUUUCCAACUUUAAUUAUCUAGUUAACGUGCCCAUCACAAUCGGACCAGGUGCCUUAGCCAAAAGAGCUGCAUUGUUUCUGUCUGACAAUGCACCUACAGUAAGUCUCUUAAUUAAGUCUCCCUGCACUGCUGUGAGGUAUGUAAUUACAGUGAAACCUGCCUUAAGCAACAACUCAAGGGACCAACAAAAAUAAUUUCCUUACCAGAGCAGGGAGAGGCAGGAUUUUACUAGGUGCAUUUUGGGGUACUUUGGGGCAAGGUAGUAAAACAAGGAGGGGGCCUAAUUAAGGUGGUUCCUUCUCCAGGUUUCCCUGUGGUAGAUUAACAUGCUCAUGCUAUAUACUGGUAUGAUAUUAUUAAUACUACUUUCAUAAUCAUGGCUUAGCAUAAUAGUACUAAUUAUACUAAUUAACAUUGUUCUCUUUUCAAAAGGCUCCCUAGGAUUUUCAUCUUCCACUAGAGACUGCCAAAGGAUUGCCACUUAGAGCCAAUGGGACUAUUGUGUUUCUGUGAUGCGGACCAUUGUCCAUCAGAGAUCAGUGAAUGGAGGACCUUCCCUCCCCACCCACAUUCAUAUUAUAUGAGAGCCAUCAAAGAGCUUUCACAUGGCACCAGGGCUCAGUCAAAGUUGGGCUACAUCAGGCAUUGUUUGAUGAGGUUUUUGUCUCAGUGAGGCCUGAGGGAUGUGGUGCAGUAUCAAGCUCUCUGUCCUGGCAUAUUUUUGAACUAUUAAAAUUAUUUUAUAGAGAGUGCAGUAAAGUUUAAUGAGUUUGUAGAACUUGGGCUAGGGCCCCACCUAUUCUGUAGCCACUGAGUUUGCCACAGAAUUCAUCCCUUGUUGCAGAUUUCUGCUCCAGAAUCUCCUUUUGUUGAAAAAGUAUCUCGCCCUCCUCAUGGUAAAGAUGGCCAAGAAAGGUGACAGGAGCACGAGUGCAGUGCUGUAUGCUCUUGGCCAACUCAGGUGUGAAAUAGCAUGUCUGAGAGGUUUAAACUUGCCUUCCUUGUCCCCGUGGGUUAUUACUUCUGAAACAGAAAGGGAACAAAUUAAUGCUUACGUGGUUAACACUUUCACUGUUGUUCCAUUCAGUUAGACGCCUCUGCUGAGAGCUUGCCCUCCAAACUGGCUCACGCUCCUCUCCCAGUGCUGAAAGCCUCAAACAUCCUCUAAUCCACUUCCAGCCUCCCCACUAAAUCCUGAGGUGCCAUUAGCCAUUGUCAGUACAACAGUGACAUGUUGAAAAGUGACCAUGCAGGGACUGCCUGGAAUAAAGUCAAUGCACUUAAAAAUAAAUAACACGGGAGCUUCUGGGUUGAUUAUAUUGCUCCCUUAAAUACUGAAUUCAAGAUGCACUUGAUGUUUUAAAUACAUCUGAAGCUAUGGUAGAAUUUCACGGAUUUCCAUCAGAAGCCAAGAAUUUUGCCACUGGAUUUCCAGCACACAUGUGCACUCAGUGAUUCCUCAGAACCUGAAAUCUCCAACUGGGAAUCGGGCUUCCAGACUCUCUCGUACCUCGGCAAACUGUGGCUUCAAUACGCAAGGUUCCACCUCAUCCAAGCUAGGAUUUCUGCUCCAUUCCAAAGGUCACUGGUUCUAUCCAUUUGUUCUGUGAUUGGAAAAAGAUGACAAAGUUUAUUAACCAAGAUGAUUUUGGACGUUUAUUAGCAAGACAUUGUCAGGCAACAAUGGCAGCACAGACAGAGAAGCUGGUCCCAGUCCCGCAGUAUUUCCUGCAGGGCUCCCUGCAGCUCACGGCUCUUCUCUGCUGAUCCUCUCAUAUUGUUUUUGAUAAUGAAUAGCAGCUGAUUGUUGCAUUGUCUAAUAAGUGAUUCAUUUACAUUAAGCAUCGCUUCAAAGUAGGAUUUGAUUUGUUUGUUUCAAAGUCCCUUCAGUUGUUUAGUUGUAGAGAUUCCAUUUUUUUGUAACCGCAUUGUUUGAAUGAUUUCUCAGUUGCUUCUACAAACAGCCAAAUUCCCCUGAUGUAACUUCCCGAGCAGCCUCUGGUGUCACAGAAGUGGAAGCAGGAUCCAGAUUUUCAAAAGAGGCAUCUAUCAGUGGUCUUGAAUGGCCAGUUUGAGACCUCUGCCCUGAACUCCCUGUCAGUUUUGCUGUCCCUGUAAGUCCAUGUGAAGGCAGGCAUAGAGCCUCAGCAAGUGGGAAUGGCCAGAGCUUCAUUGGCAUCCCGUUGAUCUGCCUCACCAUCUCUGAAACGGAGACACCUCACAUUGUGGCUUCUGAAAAUCUGGCCCCAAAUAUUCAAAUUCCUGAACGUUAGUUAUGGCUCUGCCUCUGACUUCAGGCACAACCCAUGGCCCCUCUGCCCUGGUCGUGCUGUCUCUAUAAAAUUAGCAUCAAACAAGCAGCCUCACAAAAGUGUUGGCAGGUAACAUCUCUGCUGCCCUUUGAAGUUGAGGAGUUCUAGAUAUCCAUGUAUAUUAAGUAUGAAGUCUUAUUUUCAUUAUGCGCUGCAGGCCUUUAUAUUACCAAUGCCAAUUGCCCCCUCUUCUCUAGUUGCUGCCACUCCUAGGUGACAUGGUUUUACAGCUUAACACCAGGGCCUGGUAUGAUUUCACGCACUUCAAAGAGGACCAAUGUUCUUGAAUAUGGAUACUGUUGGCUUGUCCAGUCUUGAGGACUGCCAUUCUUUAACAUCGCCACAUUUAAGCAUUAACUGGGGUGACAGUGCUUCUUUUAAUGUUUUCUUAAUUUAGCAUGGUGUAUAAGGAUUUCCCCUGUAAACUAGCAUUUCCAGCAUGGUUAGCUUGUAAUUUCUGGUGUGUUCUGCAGAGGCCUAAUAGGAAUUCAGACUCAGUGGUGGAUGUGACGUGCUUUGGUGAAAGUGGACAGCACUGUGAGUCAUUGUGAGAAACUAGGUGGGUGAGAACCACCUAAGUAGGAAUGCUCAGCCUUGUACUAUAUGAUUUCUGACAUUCAAAAAAUGCUGUCUUGUUAUGAGUGCUUCCCUUGAUACAGAGGUUCAGGAGAGCAAACACAUGGGCAAACCAAAUGCAACAAAGUGGGGGGCUUCUUGAAGUCUGAAAACCCAGUAAGGCAGUGGGUUGGAAGAAGGAUUGGACGGUGGGCUGAGCUUACUGAUGGAUGGAGACUGCCAUGCUGCUGGAGCAGCCAGGAUCACAGACGGGGUUCUUCCCCUGUGGUUCUGGCCAAAGAGCGGCAAAGGCCUUUGGGGGACGCUGCUCGUGGAAUCAGAAGGUCCCAGAAAGACCAAUCAAUGUGAACUGAUUGGGUAAAGUCCAGGAGUGGGAGUCUGAAUUGGGAAGAGACAGCUGGGAGGUGAUAGCUUGAAUACCAGAUACUCCACUAACGCGAAUAGCAGGUAAAUGUGUACUACUUAACAGUAUGGCAUAACCUAGUUCCCAAUGUGUUGCUUGUUGGAUAUGUUGUAAUAGACUCUGGUUAUCUACUGCUUGAGUGCAGAAACCACCCAAUUGCGUUACAUCUUUCAGCCCCUUGCCUGCUGCGUAUCUUUGUACUCCAUUUAACUGGGCCCGAAACAGUGUAGGGGAAGCAGCUGUUAAAGGGCUGCUAUUAGAAGCCUUGAAAAAUGACAGGAGCGCAAGUCAGCUUCAUGGCUGCUGAUCCCAGAGCCCUAGCCAUGCUGUAAACAAGGCUUGUUAAGCACAUGGGGCUGUCAGUGCUGGGCACUUAAUGAGCAUGGUUUACCUAAACUCUAGGCAAGUGCCUGCUCCAGGUACAUCCAGAGCCUUCCCAGCCUUGAGGCUAUGGGCUUUAAGGGGGUUCCCUGUGAAAGAGGUAGGGAGGAAAGUGAGAACACUGACCAGAAAAAUGUAGUGGUGUGAGAGCAAGGGGGCUUCCUGGGACAGGAUGAGGGACUGGCAUUAGGACAGCAUCUGCAUGGAGUACCUUUAUUAAGAGAGAUCCAGCAGGCAGGAAUUGCUAAUGGGGCAGGGAGGUACGUGCAAAGACCAUGCUCAAGGAAGGGAACAGGAGUCCAAGCAAAGGACACAGGGCAAAAGGAAAGGCCAAAAAAGCCAGAGGAAGAGGGAUUGGCAGAGGAACUCCUGUAAAAGCUGGGGACAGCACCUGGUUCCCAAUUCUGCUGGAGCCUGGGAAGCUGCCUGGCCUGAUGUCUGGUUCCUGGGAUAGAUUUCAAAUCAUUCUGCACAGUCGGAUCCCCGUGGCCCCACGUGGAGUCUCAUAGGUUUUGGUGGGAGUCGGUGUGGACCUUUGAGUCUGCUUCUGCAAAAUAGUUGUCAGGAUCAGGGCCUAGGAGAGUGCCCAGAUCAGUCCAAGUGAGAGGCAAAGGAAAGGUACUGUUAGUACCAAGCCAUCCAUAUGCUAUGGCCUGGGUUUUGGGGCCACAGAAUGGGGGUCUUCAGGCCCUUCCACCCUCCAGCUAGUGCUGGGGCUCCAAAUAUUGCCAAGAACAAAGAACUGGGGGUUGUUUUUACCAAACUUGCUAUGUCAGUGCUGGCCAGCGAGAGAAAGGAAAUGAGCCCUCCUGCACACUCUCAGGAUCUGUCUGCCAUCAGCCGGCAAGCUUAAAGGAAGGAAGGUGACCACGGUCCCUGGCUAGGGCAGCGGUCCCAAGUGCAACAGGCCCAGCCCUGAAGUGCUUUGCUGCACCACUGUGACAGCUCUCAAGCCUGGGCCAAAGCUUCUGUGGGUGUCCUGAGGAUCACUGAGCCCUUAGGAUUGUUUGAGUUAUUUAGCCUCCGUGCAGGCCACAUGGCAAUUUAGCAGCCACAAAGGGGGUGGCACACACCCUUGCCAGUUAUUCAAACCCCAACCAGCCCUUCCAAUAAAACCACAAAGCCCUGAGCUGCCAGUGAGGCCCUUCCUGCCUUCCUCAUUUGCCCUAGAGUCUCACCUACCCCGCCCUCCCGGGAGACCACAGUACUGUGCUCAGUCGCAGGCAGUGAAAUUAGCAGCACAUUAGCAGCUUGGUAAUGGCCUUGCGUGGUGGAACCAGCUUUCUUCAUUAAUCCAGAAGAUGAGGGUUGUUUUUGUACAUGUGAGAAGCUCAUUAUUUAAAUACUGGGAAUUAAGGCUCAUCAGAUUCCGGAGGCUGAUUCUGGUUGUGUUUCCCUGGGGUGGGGGUAGAGGCCAGCUUUGCACAGGUGUGCAAUAUGAUACAGAGCUGCUCAGGGCCCAGAGAAGCAGGCCACAUGCACACCCACUACUGUCACGCUCUCCCCAGGCAGGAGAGGCAUUUCGCUGUCUUGAGCAUCCCUCCCUUCCACUGCACUUGUUUGCCUGUACACUGAUUGAGUGUCGCUAUGGCUUUGCCUUUGCUGCCAAAAACUACAAGGCAAGUCCCUGUCUGCAAAGAACCUCACUCAACUACUUCAAAGCAAAGCAGUGCAUCAUGCUGGCUAGGAUUUGACAGUGGGAGAAUUUGUACACCUCUGUUAUGCCUCUGUAAAAAUAAGACCAUUGCUUUUUUUGCAUGGAAACGUAAUGCCAGGUAGCUGUGCGGUGCUUGAUGCGUUGCCUUGGAUUGCUGCAGUCAGAGGAGGCAUUGGGUUGGAGAGCCAUUGGCUCAUAACCUAACAAAAGAGACUUCCACUGGCCUGGAAAAUAUAGGGUGCACUGGACUAUGAUGCUUCCCAGGAGGUGCUGGAAGAACACAGCCUGUGCCAGGUUCACACUUACAAGUAGGUUUUAUGGGAUAAUGAUUUCCAGGGAAGAUGGGUGCUUUUGGCAGUCUCUGGGAAAGGGGAUCUGCUGAUGUCUUUGCCAACAGCUGCCUCCUACACAGACAGAUACCAGCACUGUUUGUGACAAUGGAAGGCCCCCCUCUUCAAGACAAGCAGCCUGCUAAGAAACAGGCUUUUGAAUUCUUUCAUCAGAUUAGCCACAAACCCUGGAUCACGGUCAGGAUCUAAUAAGGUGAACCACACAGUGCAUGCAGUGGAAGCUGCCUUAUGGAGUAUUAUCUGGAGGGAAAUGUCUUGAUUAAUACCAAGGAUGAAGUUUUGGCCUUGUUUCAGCCCCUGGCAAAAUUCACACUGAGUUCAACUAGUGACUGGAUUUCACCCUGUAACAGCAGGAAGGAGGCCCUGAUGACUGGUACUGGGGCUUGUGCAGGUAUGAGGGACUGUGCCUAGUAGUCAUCAUGUUAUGAUUUUCUAAAUCAACUCCUUGGCCCUUUUGUACUUGGACAGAGCCAGGUGGAAACCUCCAAUAUGAAUCCAGUGGCCCUCAAGCACUCUGCUGAUGGAUCAGCAGUCAGACAAAACUCAUUAAUUUACAGAAGAGGCUACAGCUUGGACUAGUAAAAGCUUACUGAGCUCAGCAGCAGGUGAACAGUCUGGCAUGGAGCUAACAAAACAGCUGCACCAAGGACCCCAUCCUCUGAGCUGCUGAGUGUCUUCAGAAUACUGGAUGAAGGAUACUUGCUGAGGGUUGAAAGGUUCAGCCCCUUCCAGGAUCAGGCAGCAGGUUUGCUCUGAUUGGAUCUAUCUUUGGCAUUCCUAACACACCUGUCACUUGGUAUCUCAGUACCAGUGUCUGGCAUAAUAUCCCAAAGGCUCUGGGUUGAGUCAUGAGACAUUUACUGCGGAGUAGACUAAUGAUCUCUGCAGUAAACAUCUCAUGUCUACACAUGCAGCCCUAUUAGGCCACAGGAAACUAAUUAACUCUGCAGCAGAGUAGUACUUGUAAGUACAAGUACUAUCCCGCUGUGCAGUUUUUUACUCCGCAGUACUGCACAUGUAGACACUGAUGCGGCUGGCUUGGGCGUGCCUCCUAGCUAGCCCCACACUGGAGCACCCUCAUGCCUGAGCCACCCAGCCACAGAUCUGAAAAGCUGUGACUUGUUCUGAUGUUCCUAGCCCCUCCAGUUGGAAAGGGGGAGCACAGCCACAGGCUUUGUAGCCCCUGAGGGCCCUGAAAAGUCUCUUAUUCUUCCAACGGACCUCAGGUAUUUGCUACAUCGGGCUUGUUCACUGGCUCAUUCUGUGUGCUCACUGCUGUCAAAACCAUUGCAAAGCGUGUGUGAUUCCCAGAUAUAGGAUACUGGGUGCAGCCUGUGGAAACCAGAGUACUAGCUAGUCCUGUUUGUCAUAUAGCUGCAUGAAGAUGUGUCUUUUUUCCCCUUAGCUAUGGUGGCUGCAUAAGAUAACUGAUGCUUGUAGGGAAUCCCCACGUGACCAAGUUAUUACAAGUCCCUGCUUAUUUAUCUAGCAUUAUUAAAGUCUUGAGACCUUCCCCCAACCCAAUAACCUGAGUGCCUAUCCCUUGCAUUAAAAAGAAUUGCUUUGAUCACAAUAAACAUCCACCAGCCACCAGGGACAUCAUAAAUUAAUUAAAAGUCUAGCGAGGCUGUUCAGUGUGCCUGAUCCACAUUCUGGAGAGCCAAAGACUGGGGAGAUCCAAAGCCCAGGAGCUGGGGUGAGGUGUCAGCUCCUUCCUAUUUACAGUGAGGGAGCUGCAGCUCCAGUGUCUCCUCUGAUCAUGCCGGCAGAGGCAGCAUGGUGUAUGAUGACAGGCGAUCUGUGGGGUAGCAUCACCUUAUGGCAGUACAUUUCUAACAGUAUUCAUGACUUUAUUUUCUCAGCCUUACCUUUCUGUAGUCAAGUGCAAAGGCCUUGAUCUUGUCAGGUGCUGAGGUCUCUCGCCCCCUGCCAGUGCACAGUUCAAGCCCCUGUAGAAGUUACCUUGGGGACCCAACUGCUCGGCAUCUCAUAGGAUCGUGCUUGAAAGGCUUCGCUGCACUAGUUUCUCAACCUCUGUUAGUUUUUCAGUGAGGAGGCCUUGAUGCUGUUCAAAUGCUUGGACUCCCGGGAAAAGGGUUAAGUUCCCUCUGAGAAAGAGAACUGAGCACUUGCGCGAGGAAACCAUGGCCACACAAAAUGGAAAACGUGUCUCAGAGAAACCAGGUCUUGUUGUUUCACGUUCCUGACUGAUCAGCAAAGCCCUCAAGUGCCUCCUGGGAUGGCACAGUUAGAGAAUUCGGUUGCUUUUCUUCCCACAUGGAAGAACAUUGCCUCUUCCCAGCUGAGAUAUCAUGUAACACCGGUGGCUCUCAGGAGGGAGAUUUUGCUGCGUGUUUGCAGGGCAUUUAGCUAGUAUCAAUGUUUAUAUUCCAACAUAAUUCAGGGGCGAGUGCCAAUUAGCAUAAUCUUUCGUGCUUUCAAAUGAAAAUUCCUCUAGCAGAACCAAGAGGGAUCAAUGCUGUUUCCUGCCCCCAGAGGCCAAUCCUUUCCCAUGCUCACUGCCGCACCAACAGUUACGUUGCAGGAAGGUUCCCAAGCUAUGCUAAGUGCAAGUUAAAGGAAAGCAAGCUGGUAAACCCUGGUGUGCAUCUGUAAUGAGGAGGUUGUGAUUUGACAAUUGCUGUGACAAGCCUACGUCACCAUUUCCCUCCCUUAUUUUGUUUUGACUGCUAUUUUGCUGUGUUUUGCCACCUUUGCUGCGUGGGCUGUAACAACCGAACGGCACUUGUUGCAUUGGAAACUUGUGUGCUUCACUGCAAAGAUUAUGACACGGUCCCAAAAUGAAAAGCGCAGAGGCCGGGGACUCCACGACCCACUGCUGCCUUCUAGCUUUUGGUUUAGGCUCUGGCAGCAGCCGUUGUUGAGCAAAUGCUCAACCUCAGCAAGUCACAAGAGACAUUCUUUGUUACCUUGGGGUAGAUUUUUAUCAUGACCUGGCUUUAGUGGCUGACCACCACAUCACAUUACCAGGGCUGGUGGGAGUUGACUCUUUGUGGAGAAUAAGCUGCCAGAAAAGAGUUGUAAAUUAAGGCCUUUUGGUUAUAGCCGUGUUGGUCCAAGGACAUAGUUAGGCAAGCUUCUUUGGGUAGAUGUGAUAUCGUCCAACUACUCAGUUGGUCUAAUAAA